RNAcentral lists this unclassified non-coding RNA (1854 nucleotides) under Lucilia cuprina (Australian sheep blowfly). Its description in RNAcentral is "protein mothers against dpp, transcript variant X3". Lineage: Eukaryota; Metazoa; Arthropoda; Insecta; Diptera; Calliphoridae. The record is from RNAcentral.
ACUAUUCGACUUCCAACAGUUAUCCCGGCUUUCGGGUAAAUUCCACGUUAAACAGAAUGGAUACCGAUGAUGUUGAAUCAACUUCAAGCAGUGCAAUGUCUAAAAUAGGAGCUCUAUUUACUUUCACUUCUCCAGCAGUUAAAAAAUUACUCGGUUGGAAACAGGGAGAUGAAGAGGAGAAAUGGGCAGAAAAAGCAGUCGACAGUUUGGUCAAAAAAUUAAAAAAAAGACAGGGUGCUAUUGAAGAAUUAGAGAGGGCGUUAUCAUGUCCAGGGCAGCCAUCAAAAUGCGUGACUAUACCAAGAUCAUUAGACGGAAGAUUACAGGUUUCACAUCGCAAAGGUCUGCCACAUGUCAUUUAUUGUCGCGUAUGGCGCUGGCCCGAUCUGCAGUCACAUCAUGAACUUAAACCAUUAGAGAUAUGUCAAUAUCCCUUUAGUGCUAAACAGAAGGAAGUAUGCAUUAAUCCCUAUCAUUAUAAAAGGGUUGAAAGUCCCGUUUUACCCCCCGUAUUAGUACCGCGUCACUCGGAAUUUGCACCGGGUCAUUCAAUGCUACAGUUCAAUAAUAUCGGCGAGUCGACAAUGCCACACAAUGUCAGCUAUUCAACCGCCGGGUUUAACAAUCAUCUCAGUCCCAACAGCCCGCCUAUGACAUCGGUUGGCAGUCCUAGUUCUGUUAAUUCCAAUCCAAAUUCACCAUACAGUAGCAUGGCUGAGACACCUCCCCCAGCCUACAGUCCCUCUGAGGAUGGUAAUUCAAAUAAUCCGAAUGAUGGUUCGCAAAUGCUAGACGCUCCUAUGGGCGAUGUGGCCCAGGUUAGUUACCAAGAACCAGCAUUUUGGGCUUCGAUUGCGUACUAUGAAUUGAACUGUCGUGUGGGUGAAGUAUUUCAUUGCAAUAAUAGUUCAGUGAUCGUUGACGGUUUUACAAAUCCUUCAAACAAUUCGGAUCGUUGCUGUUUGGGUCAGUUGAGUAACGUUAAUCGCAACAGUACAAUCGAAAACACCAGACGUCAUAUAGGAAAAGGUGUUCAUCUCUAUUAUGUUACCGGCGAAGUUUAUGCUGAAUGUCUCUCCGAUUCAGCCAUAUUUGUGCAAUCACGCAAUUGUAAUUAUCAUCACGGCUUCCACCCUAGCACUGUGUGCAAAAUACCACCAGGUUGUUCAUUAAAAAUCUUUAAUAAUCAAGAAUUUGCUCAACUACUAUCACAAUCCGUCAAUAAUGGCUUCGAGGCCGUUUAUGAACUUACAAAAAUGUGUACAAUACGCAUGUCAUUUGUGAAGGGCUGGGGAGCGGAAUACCAUCGACAGGAUGUGACUUCAACGCCUUGCUGGAUUGAAAUCCAUUUACAUGGACCAUUGCAAUGGUUAGAUAAAGUUCUUAUACAAAUGGGUUCACCACACAAUGCAAUAAGUUCGGUGUCGUAAAACUAUUGAAUACGCUAAUACAGGAUGAGAAAAACAACAACAUAAAAGUUGUAAGCAUAUUAAGGAGACGAUAAACAGAUGUUUUAUUUUCAUUUAAUUUUAAGAAAGAUAUAUAGAGUUAAGACGAUGAUUUGGGAAGAUGCGAUGAUAAUAAGGAAAAAGAUUGAAAAGCAGUUUAAAAGACCAUCAUUUCUAUUUUUAUUGUCCUUUUUUUAUAUUUUGUUUGAAAAGCAACAAAAAGUAAUGCCUACUAGUAAAAAUUUCAUAAAUAUUUGUGAAAUUUACAAUCGUUUUGUAGUGCUUUUGACGUACAAAGAUACGACAUCGAAUGUAAAUUGAACAAUUAAUUUAUUUUUCAUACAAAUUAUUGUAUGUUUUAAUUAAAAAAAUAAUAAUAAUAAAAAAGUAUCAUUAUUAAAAAUUA